CAGUAAGGUCCGUUUGAGACUAAGACGUAGAUAGGUCAGGUGUGUAAGUGUAGUGAUACAUUGAGCUAACUGAUACUAAUGAACCGAGAGUCUUAACCUU
Gilliamella apicola is the source of this 100-nucleotide non-coding RNA. The record is from Rfam. NCBI's taxonomy places the organism in Bacteria, Pseudomonadati, Pseudomonadota, Gammaproteobacteria, Orbales, Orbaceae.